RNAcentral lists this ribosomal RNA (465 nucleotides) under Selenomonas sp. oral taxon 149. RNAcentral's name for it is "bacterial SSU rRNA". It matches the Rfam family "Bacterial small subunit ribosomal RNA", at positions 28 to 471 of the family's 1533-position model. Lineage: Bacteria; Bacillati; Bacillota; Negativicutes; Selenomonadales; Selenomonadaceae. The record is from RNAcentral.
GACGAACGCUGGCGGCGUGCUUAACACAUGCAAGUCGAACGGAGCGAAUGAAAGCUUGCUUUUAUGAGCUUAGUGGCAAACGGGUGAGUAACACGUAGACAACCUGCCGACAGGAUGGGGACAACAUUCCGAAAGGAAUGCUAAUACCGAAUGAAGUCGAGGGAAGGCAUCCUCCUUCGAUGAAAGAUGGCCUCUUCUUAUGCUAUCACCUGUUGAUGGGUCUGCGUCUGAUUAGCUGGUAGGUGAGGUAACGGCUCACCUAGGCGACGAUCAGUAGCCGGUCUGAGAGGAUGAACGGCCACAUUGGGACUGAGACACGGCCCAGACUCCUACGGGAGGCAGCAGUGGGGAAUCUUCCGCAAUGGGCGCAAGCCUGACGGAGCAACGCCGCGUGAGUGAAGAAGGUCUUCGGAUCGUAAAGCUCUGUUGACGGGGACGAACGUGCGUGAUGCGAACAGUGUCAUG